This 428-nucleotide ribosomal RNA is filed under the name uncultured bacterium. RNAcentral's name for it is "bacterial SSU rRNA". It matches the Rfam family "Bacterial small subunit ribosomal RNA", at positions 29 to 453 of the family's 1533-position model. The record is from RNAcentral.
AACGAACGCUGGCGGCGCGUUUUAAGCAUGCAAGUCGAACGGUAGAGAGACUUCGGUUUCUUGAGAGUGGCGAACGGGUGAGUAACACGUAGAUGAUCUGCCUUGAAGUUGGGGAUAGCCCAUAGAAAUAUGGGGUAAUACCGAAUAAUUUUUUACCACUGUGGUGGUUUAAGGAAAGGGGCUUCGGCCUCGCUUUAAGAUGAGUCUGCGGCUUAUUAGCUAGUUGGUAGGGUAAGAGCCUACCAAGGCGACGAUAAGUAGCCGGCCUGAGAGGGUGACCGGCCACAUUGGGACUGAGACACGGCCCAAACUCCUACGGGAGGCAGCAGCUAAGAAUCUUCCGCAAUGGGCGAAAGCCUGACGGAGCGACGCCGCGUGGACGAAGAAUGCCGAGAGGUUGUAAAGUCCUUUUAUAUGCGAAGAAUAAU